Molecule: long non-coding RNA, 1564 nt
Organism: Hordeum vulgare subsp. vulgare (domesticated barley)
Lineage: Eukaryota; Viridiplantae; Streptophyta; Magnoliopsida; Poales; Poaceae
Exons: 7
Source: RefSeq, a predicted model, not a curated record
CGGCGCACAAACCAUCGUUUUGCAGCUUAUGAAGCUGUCGUCGGUUGAUAAGAUUCCUCCCUACACCACGUGGAUCUUCCUGGACAACGCAGAAACCAAAGAAUGGCCGAUGAUCAAUCAAUUGCUGGUAGGAGGAGAAUUUACUAUGAUUCAGCUCGCAACGAGGCUCUAAUCUGGAGUGAAAGUGAUGAACAAAUUGCACAACCUGAGGAAGAGAAGCAUGUUUUCACUGAAGCAGAAGAUCAGCUAAUAUGUGCAGGAAGUAAAAUAUGCGUCGGAGACGGCUAUGAAGGCAUGAACAUGAACCAGAGGGCCGUGAGGGACAUCAAGAAUAUGAUCAGCAUGUUUGUGAGAUGUUCUUCCAUGUUCAGAUUUUCACAUGACUGAUGCCCAGAGCUAGCAGGUCUCAGGACUGAGCUCGUGCCCAUGCGGCAGAGCAAGGGAUACUUAUGGAACAUAUACGUUGUGUCAAUGCAUCGUUAGGCGAACAUCUUUCUAUUUUGCAGCAAGUGCAGAUGGUUAUACGUUUGAAACAUCAACUGGCCUGUCAAGAAUGUGAGAGGCCCUCGGGAGUGAAAAAACUAUCGUUUGAGAUAGUUGUUGGAUUGAACAGCCGGAGCGUGGGCUUGUAGCUGAAUUUUCUGAUGAUAGACUGAACUCUAUAUGCAGUGGCAAGGCAGCUAGAGACAAAAAGGGAAUUGGUGAAAAAGCAACUCGCACAUCUAUAGGUCUCUUGGAAUCUCACAUUUAUCAAUUUAUGGAAAGGGGCAUCCAUUGGCAUUCUAAUAAUUUUGUUAGAGAACGGCAUAGACUGAGGCAGCCGAUGUGAACGAACACCGGGUACCCAUAAACAAGAGGAAAAAACAACACAUGUACAACGACAACAAGGUUAGCUAAGAAAAAAUCAGGCUGCCGGUGUCUAUUAACCCAGGGCAUGAUCUUGGGACGUCCGGCUUCUUUCCAAAGCGAGAUCUCAUCCAACAUCAAGUUGAAGACACUCCAAAUGGUGGAACUUAAGUUGCGGACAAUUCUGGUGUUUCGCUCCUUCCACGUGAACCACCAGAUAGCCUGCACUAAGUAGUUCCAUCCCUUCUUCUUCGGGGCAGCAAGACUGGCAGCGGAACUUUCCACUCGAUCCGAGAGGCGGGUGGUGUCGCUGGAGGGGCCUAAAGUAGCCGAGGUUGCAGGUAGCAGCAUGAGCCGCCAAAUAGCCUGAAAAAUAGGCAUUGAGUGAGCAAAAGAAUGUUGUCUUCAUCCGUUGAGCGACUCAUGUAGUACACGGGAUCAGGGGAGCAGUCCCUUUUCUGCACAUUGUCCCCGGUAUAUGUUGGCUUGGCCUUCUACUGCCCUUUUAGUUAUGUUACUGUCUAGAAAUAUUUGUAGUAGUUUUAAGAUUUGAAAGCUCAUUUUUAUUAACUUGCUGUGUAUGUGAUUGUGAACUACUUCCAUAUUUUAGAAAUAUUAUAACGGAAAAGUUUCUGGUCAGCCGGCGGAUCUGUCUGUGUGCACAUCAAUCGCCUUUCUGACCAUCGGAUCUUUUAUAAUCAGACCACUUUAAAGCAUC